UACAAGCACUUUGAAUUGUCUUUUUCUGAAGUUGCUAUAUAAAUAAAGUUGCCUUGCCUUGCCUUGCCAAGUCAAAACACACUCACACACCCACACACACUAAGUGGCUAUUGUAGCACAACUGAACCCAACAUGGACGUUGGGUUUCUGUUUGUGUUUGUGCACAGAGAACCAACACUCAUCACUCUGUUAGUAACAUUCGAAUUUUAUUAUUUUUUUCCUCAAAUUGAUCAUUGAGAGGAGCAGGAUGGACCAUCACACACACUCACACACAGGUUUGUAUUAAUGGGGUCACUGUUGAACGAACAAUUGGUUAUUUAAUUAUGGUGAAUUUCUUUGUAAAUAUAAAUUCACUGUUACCCCUAAAGAAUUUGCUGUUGUUUUCGAUGCUAUUCCAGCAGGUUUGAAAUUUCUUACAUCAACCUCAGGUACAGCCCAUGUCCAAUAUCCCAGAUUUCCAGAGUUAUUUAUUGGUUAAUUCAGAUCCUUUCCGUAGCAUUAAAACUGAAAGUAAACAUAGUAGAGAAAUAAUCCAGAGGAAUACUAUUAGCAAACCUGCUUCAAUCCUUUUUUGGAACAAUCUCUAUAGAUCUAUACAGAUAUUGAUUGGGAACAAACAUGGUUAUUGCCAAGAAAGUCUUUUGUCUCAAAUAAAGUACGAGAGGUGUCUCUUAAAAUUCUACACAGGUGUUACCCUGUAAAUUCAGCUCUGACUAAAUAUAUUCCAGAUAUUGAUCCUCUUUGUUCCUUUUGUCACAUCGAACAGGAAACAUUAAUCCACCUUUUUGGGGAAUGCUCUUUCAGUAAAACAUUUUUAUUGUGACUUCAAUAUUUUCUUCAGUCAGAAAUGUGAUAUACUUAUUCCUUUGAAUGUUAAACAUGUUUUCUUUGGUAUUUCCAAUAACAGUAUGUCUGGGAAAGAAUAUAUUCUGAACUUUCUUAUUCUGUUGGCUCAGUUCCACAUACAUGCCUGUAAAUUUGCUAAAAACAAACCCAACCUCACUGUUUCUAGAGCUUAUGUAAGAUGUUUUUUUGGACUCUUUAAGAUUGUGCACCAACUCUAAAGCUACGAAACUUAUAACCUUAAGCGAUGAAUUUGAUUUGUAAACUGUUAUUUUAUUUUAUUUUUUUCCUUUUUCUCAUGGAAUCCUAUGGAUUUGUUACCCCAGCACCUCGAGCAUACUGCUGUCUGUAAUUGUAUAUUCUUUAUCCGUAAAUAAAGUUU
This is a long non-coding RNA of Xiphophorus hellerii (green swordtail), 1225 nucleotides long. RefSeq lists it as uncharacterized. The record is from RefSeq and is a predicted model, not a curated record. The transcript is spliced from 2 exons. NCBI's taxonomy places the organism in Eukaryota, Metazoa, Chordata, Actinopteri, Cyprinodontiformes, Poeciliidae.